UGAUGGAUGAAGGAUGGAUGGAUGAGUGGAUGGGUGAUCAGUGGGGGAGUAAAUGGAUGGGUGGGUGGAUGGAUGGAUGAUAGGUGGUUGAGUGGGUAGAUAGAUGGAUGGAUGGAUGGCCGAAUGGAUGAAUAAUUGGAUCUAUCAGCAUGUGACAAGCAGGUCCAAAUUCCAUUUAGCAUGGCAGUCUGUGUCCUAGGAUCCUGAAGCCAGCAGGGCUGUCUGGCCUUCACUGGGCCCUCCUUCAUGGUCCUUGUAGCUCAUCAGCUACAUUCCCUGGGAGGGUGACAGAGGGCCCUGGUCACGUCUAUCCAGCCCUCAGCAUAUGAACCACAGCUCCAGAUCCAUGUCUCAAAGUGGGGCAGCUAGAAAGUGGCCUCGUCCAUCCUCUCCGGCCCCUUCAGGGCCCAGGCUGGCCCAGCCCAAGAGCAGGAGCGUGGUGAGGACACAGAUAGGCCUUGGGCUUGAGCUCUCCUUGGAGCAGCAAAGACAGUGCCCACCCUCCUGCCCUGCCAGCUCUCUCUCCCUAAGGCAGCCUGAGACCCUCCCAGACAGAGGCCCUGUGGGCAUCUCCUCCAGAGCCACAGUGGCCCCAGCCCCUUCUCCAGGGACCUGCCACCUCAUCCUCUAAGGCAACCUCGCCUGUGAGAUAAGGAACCACACUGCUGGCCCCGACCCCAGGGGUGCAGGGAGGGAGGGCGGUAGCUCGGCCCACACCCACGCAGGCGCAUGCUUCGCAGGCGCUCAGUGUCUUGCAGGUUGCCAGGAGCUGCUUCCCUGGGUGAUGAUAGACCUGCCACAGGAGGACCUGGAGGAGGACGCCCCGGGAGCCAGCCUGUGGCCCACCACGGUCACCUUGCUCACCCUCUUCCUGCUCAGCCUCUUCUACAGCACAGCACUGACCGUGACAAGCGUCCGGGGCCCGCCCAGCAGCAGGGAGGGCCCCUCAUUCUGAGCAGGAGCCAGCCAGGCGCAGGAAGGAGCAUGGAAGAGCCUCCCAGAGCCCAAGCGGACACCAGAGCCAAGCCCGGGAUGGAAGCACCCACCCAUCCCCACACAGGCCUUCCUCGUACAAUAAACUUGUGACAAACACAG
Molecule: long non-coding RNA, 1095 nt
Organism: Myotis daubentonii (Daubenton's bat)
Lineage: Eukaryota; Metazoa; Chordata; Mammalia; Chiroptera; Vespertilionidae
Exons: 2
Source: RefSeq, a predicted model, not a curated record